RNAcentral lists this ribosomal RNA (388 nucleotides) under uncultured bacterium. RNAcentral's name for it is "bacterial SSU rRNA". It matches the Rfam family "Bacterial small subunit ribosomal RNA", at positions 419 to 794 of the family's 1533-position model. The record is from RNAcentral.
CGGAUUGUAAACCACUGUUGUAAGGGAAGAACGUUAUUAGUAGGAAAUGGCUAAUAAGUGACGGUACCUUACCAGAAAGGGACGGCUAACUACGUGCCAGCAGCCGCGGUAAUACGUAGGUCCCGAGCGUUAUCCGGAAUUAUUGGGCGUAAAGGGCACGUAGGCGGACAAAUAAGUUUGAUGUCAAAUAUGAUGGCUCAACCAUCAAGAGGCGUUGAAAACUGUUUAUCUAGAAUCUCGGAGAGGUAAGUGGAAUUCCAUGUGUAGCGGUGGAAUGCGUAGAUAUAUGGAGGAACACCAAUGGCGAAGGCAGCUUACUCGGACGAAGAUUGACGCUGAGGUGCGAAAGCGUAGGGUAGCGAAACAGGAAUUAGAUUACCCUGGUACG